AUGUUCAUAAAAUUGCAAAAUAAAGUUUUGUUGUGCAAUAAAAUUUCUAUAUUUACAAAACUUUUUUUCCACAGGUGUCUCUUCUGCAGCAUGGCCGUCUGUCUGGAAAAUCAGGGCAGGGAAUUUGCGAGGGCAGUUAGUCCUUCACUUAAGAAGGGAAUUAGCGCUCUCAAUGCCUUAACCAUCAGCCUCCUAAAUGUGGAUAGAGCCUUUGUGGCUAAAAGUGACUCAUCAUUCAGUGAAAUUCGGAGGGCUGUUAUAAGCGUGCAGCAGAACCUGGGGGAGGCUGAAAAAGCUGCCCUCAGUAAACUCAAGGCGGUAGAUAAAUGCUACGAGGAGCUGAUAGUUAGAAAGCAGAAUCUAUCUAUUCAGCAAGAUUACACAAAAGAUGCAUUGCGUGAUUUAAAACAACAGCAAAAAAACAACAACGCCACCUUAGAGAUGUACAAAAAAUCAGCAUGUGAUGCUGUGUCUCAGUUGGAAGAAGCUAAGGCCUAUCUUUGGCAUCAGCAGAGGGCUGUAGAAGAGGCAGAAGAACUGAGGGAUGCAGGAAUUGGGAUAACAUUCAUUCCUAUUUUAGGAUGGAUUGCAGGUCCAAUAAUGAUAGCAGCAGCUGAAAAUGACAUCGAAAAUGCGAAUUACAGAGUUCAGGAGGCGGAGCGCAUGGUCAAUUCUUUCCGAUCCUCGGUCCACGAAUACGAACGCAAAGUGUCCGAAUACACAAGCAGAAUCCAGGAGGCUUGCAAAGAGAUUGUGAAGAGACAAGACUCGCUGAGGGAGAUCGAACGGGACAUUCAACAGGUUCUCAGACAGAGAAGAGAGAUGGCUGGUUUCCAGGAGAACAUGAGGAACUCGGUCAGAGUUCUUAGCGUACUCGCCGGUACAUCAAACGUGGCAGAGAUUCAAACGCGCUGCUUUGUGUUAAUAGAGGCGAUGAUAAAGUUGAUGCAGACCUUUGGUAAAUUGGUGGAAGCCACUGGAGAAAAUCGGCUUAUCUGUGAUGAUGGCAUUAAGGCUCUUAUCACAAAGCUGCAGGUCAAUUAUGUCAAAAUGCAGGCCAUCAUUGUGCCCUCUGAUACCGCCGCCAUAGAUUUCAUAUGAAUUGCUUUUGUUUUUGCUGAUUCUGUUGAUUCUGCUGAUUCUGCUUCAUUUUAAAGAGUACUAUCUUCAAAUAAUCACUGAAUGUCUAAACAACUAUUUUAUGUGAUGUUUGGUUCUUUUUCUUUCUUUUAUUUCUGCAAAACUGCUUUGUG
RNAcentral lists this long non-coding RNA (1253 nucleotides) under Astyanax mexicanus (Mexican tetra). Its description in RNAcentral is "lncRNA (ENSAMXG00005011524.1)". Lineage: Eukaryota; Metazoa; Chordata; Actinopteri; Characiformes; Acestrorhamphidae. The record is from RNAcentral.